This 25-nucleotide non-coding RNA is filed under the name Rattus norvegicus (Norway rat). Lineage: Eukaryota; Metazoa; Chordata; Mammalia; Rodentia; Muridae. The record is from RNAcentral.
AGACACAGGUCUUACACAGGUCCGC